CGCGUAGGCGGCCUGCUAAGUCGAACGUGAAAUCCCCGGGCUCAACCCGGGAACUGCGUCCGAUACUGGCGGGCUUGAAUCCGGGAGAGGGAUGUGGAAUUCCAGGUGUAGCGGUGAAAUGCGUAGAUAUCUGGAGGAACACCGGUGGCGAAGGCGGCAUCCUGGACCGGUAUUGACGCUGAGGCGCGAAAGCCAGGGGAGCAAACG
Molecule: ribosomal RNA, 207 nt
Filed under: uncultured bacterium
Lineage: Bacteria
Description: partial 16S ribosomal RNA
Rfam family: Bacterial small subunit ribosomal RNA
Source: RNAcentral